Molecule: ribosomal RNA, 459 nt
Filed under: uncultured bacterium
Lineage: Bacteria
Description: partial 16S ribosomal RNA
Rfam family: Bacterial small subunit ribosomal RNA
Source: RNAcentral
CCUACGGGUGGCAGCAGUGAGGAAUAUUGGUCAAUGGACGAGAGCCUGAACCAGCCAAGUCGCGUGAAGGAUGACUGCCCUAUGGGUUGUAAACCUCUUUUAUAUGGGAAUAAUAAACUUUACGCGUAGAGUGAUGACAGUACCAUACGAAUAAGCAUCGGCUAACUCCGUGCCAGCAGCCGCGGUAAUACGGAGGAUGCGAGCGUUAUCCGGAUUUAUUGGGUUUAAAGGGUGCGUAGGCGGCAUUAUAAGUUAGUGGGAAAAUAUUGGGGCUUAACCUCACUAUGCCAUUAAUACUUUAGAGCUAGAGAACAGACGAGGUAGGCGGAAUAAGUUAAGUAGCGGUGAAAUGCAUAGAUAUAACGUAGAACACCGAUAGCGAAGGCAGCUUACUAGACUGAGUCUGACGCUGAUGCACGAGAGUAUGGGUAGCGAACAGGAUUAGAUACCCUUGUAGUC